ACGAACGCUGGCGGCGCGCCUAACACAUGCAAGUCGAACGAGCGAGAGAGAGCUUGCUUUCUUGAGCGAGUGGCGAACGGGUGAGUAACGCGUGAGGAACCUGCCUCAAAGAGGGGGACAACAGUUGGAAACGACUGCUAAUACCGCAUAAGCCCACGACCCGGCAUCGGGUUGAGGGAAAAGGAGCAAUCCGCUUUGAGAUGGCCUCGCGUCCGAUUAGCUAGUUGGUGAGGUAACGGCCCACCAAGGCGACGAUCGGUAGCCGGACUGAGAGGUUGAACGGCCACAUUGGGACUGAGACACGGCCCAGACUCCUACGGGAAGCAGCAGUGGGGAAUAUUGCACAAUGGGGGAAACCCUGAUGCAGCGACGCCGCGUGGAGGAAGAAGGUCUUCGGAUUGUAAACUCCUGUUGUUGAGGAAGAUAAUGACGGUACUCAACAAGGAAGUGACGGCUAACUACGUG
This 465-nucleotide ribosomal RNA is filed under the name uncultured bacterium. Its description in RNAcentral is "partial 16S ribosomal RNA". It matches the Rfam family "Bacterial small subunit ribosomal RNA", at positions 29 to 507 of the family's 1533-position model. The record is from RNAcentral.